This 3788-nucleotide long non-coding RNA is filed under the name Pelobates cultripes (western spadefoot toad). The record is from RNAcentral. Lineage: Eukaryota; Metazoa; Chordata; Amphibia; Anura; Pelobatidae.
UUGUUGCACUUUUUAUCUUUAGUUCUUUUUUUCUAUUGUAAUCGUCAAGAAGUACAGUUAAAAUCACACAAUAAAAAGGAAGGCACUUAAGUUUAUCCCCCUCCCCCCCCCCCAAAAAAUAAAACAUUUAAUGGAUUAUUUCCCAUUUUUAACUCUCAUAAAAACAGAUAUACAAUACAAAAUAUAUAAUAUAUUAAAAACAUUAGGGUUAUUGGCAGCCCUUAUUUCUCCUCAGACAGAAUUGUUUCACGUUGACGCUCCCCACCCCCCCACCCCAAAAAGGAGGUUCUGCAGUGGCUGGGCGCAGACACCUGCACAAUCUUAAAUUCUAUGUGGAAACUCAUAGGUGAAAGGUCAGUUUCUGCACAGAAAAUACAAUGUAAGCAGAGAACAUACAAAGAUGGAGGAAGUUGGAAUACGCAUGUGUCACAUGUAUCUAUAGGAUGUUUCAGAAGACAGUCUGGUCACAUGAUGGGGAUUCAAAUCAGUAACAUUUUGAUUUACCUCCAUGUACGUCGUGACCACUAGAGGAUUUGUUCUGGGGAGCCCAAAAUGCCCUGACACAUAAUUGAGCAGAAAGAAAAAUUCUUUCAUAAAACACUAUGGAGGCAUCGUUAAAUUUCUAUAAUACUUCAUGCAUGAUCACCUAUACAGAAGUAAUGCUGCCCAUUUUAAAAAGGGAAUAAACAGAAUUAAAGUUUAAAAAAAAAAAAAAUAGAAAAGGGUUUUGUAGGUUUUUAUUUCCUUGAAUGCCAAUGGAAGGAAUUUUCUGCUGCAACUGGCCUCUUAAGAGCACUUCCUAUACAUUCAAAACACACAAUAUGAAUGGCACUGUCUUUUAGACCACUAGUCCUGCAUGUAAAUGUUUACUUAUAAGUUAGACACGUUUAAACAUUCCAUCUUCCUUUUACAGUUAGAAGUAAAAUGGCCCAGGGAAUGAACAAGCCCAAUAGGCCUUCCUCCUGACUCCCGCUGUCAUCCAAACAGAAUACCCUCACCAGAAGUGUCCCUUUUGUUUUUUGUAGAGUGAGCUAGUGCAAUAAUGAGGUGCAUUGCCCCCUGCUGGAAUCUACAAUAUGUUACACAAAGCAACAACAGCACUCCAAGCUUGAAUGCAAUCAUUGCUUAAACAGCACUCGCCUCUGCUGGUGAAGAAUACAACUCAAAAAUUUUUUUUAUUUAAAUUCAUAUUUUCUAAUAUGUACUUUUUAGAUAUUUAUUCUGGUUAAUUUGCAAGAUACUGUUCAAUGCAGCAUGCAAGGAUCGGUUAUGUUCUGGGAAAUGUGAUUGAGAUCUAAUGCAGUUAGCUAGCAUGAGUUAUGGUUACAUUAAUAGGAAUACAUCAGUGGAGGUUUAUUAAUGCUUUGAAAGUUACAGUGCCACAUACAAUUGACAUUUAAGGACUGGGGUUCUUUGCGGAGUACUGAAAGUCUUCCUUCUCCAAUGAACAAACUAGGUCGUCCAGGUUCUUGUACUGUAUACCAGAUUGAUACAAGGUAUCUGAAUAGGAAGGGAGAGAUGUACAGAAUGUAGACUGAGAAGUGUGUUCUCUAGAAUGCAAAAAACACAAUUUUAAGUUAUAUGGCGAGACUGAAGUGGAACUGGAAAAUAUUACGCAAAAUUUUAGGAAGAAAACUUUUUGGUUGGUCUAAUUAAAAAAAAAUUUUUGUUAAUGAGGUUAGUUGUAGGACUGGCAAGAACAUUUAGAACUCAUUCCCACUUAAAGGAGUAUAAAUAUUGUAGAGUAUUAUCAUUCCCUUCAGGCUUUUUGCUGUAAACACAGUCUUUUCAGAGAAAAUGCAGUGUUUAGAUUACAGCCUAGGGAUACCUCCACUGACCACUCCUUAGUUGGCUACUAGAGGUGCUUCCUGGGGCCGUGCUGCACAGUGGAACUGACACUGAACUUUCCUCAGAGAUGCAUUGAUUUAAUGCAUGUCUAUGAGGAGAUUCUGAUUGGCCAUGGCUGUGUUUGACUUGUUCUGGCUCUGCCCCUGACCUGCCUCCUUGACAAGCUUAGCCAAAUCGAAUGCUUUCCAAAACACAGCAGUGGUCAAAGUUUUGCCAGUAUCCACAAUGGAACAGAAUUGGGAAAUAUUAACAUCCUGGACAGGUGGUGUGCCAGUGGUUCAGCUAUAAUCUACACUAAGAAACUAAAAGUAUCUUUGGGAUGUUGAUCAUUUAUAAAAAAAUAUUAUUGAAGAUACAACUCAAAAAGUAUUGUGGCAUUUUCAUCCAGUGGUGGUUGGACAUGAUAUGAAGUCUCAGGUUUUAUAUUGUCAGAAAUAGAGUUUAAAUGAGAGACGAUCAAAAAUGCCAAUACUUACUUUAAGGAUGACAAAUUUCAUAUCAACCUUCCGAUUAAAUUAGAUCUGUCCUACAAUGUGAUUCAAAAAAUAAAUAAAUUAAAAAACUAAAUAAAAUUACCAAUCAUUAGCAUUGUAGUUUGCGGUUCUAAUCUGCUCAGGAAAAGCCAUUAUGCCCAAUGUGCAUUUAAGAGCAGUGAUUGUGUGUUGCUGGUUUAUAUAGCUUUUCAAUGUGCAGCCUAUUGAAUAUUACAUUAAGAAUAUCCCAAAUAUGAUUGUUUCGUUCCUGGGCCGUUCUAGGUUUAUAACAUUUUGAGCAGAAGCAGUUUUGCUUAAGAACAACUCCAAUAAAUAUGUAGCGGGUCUGGUAUCCUCUGCAAGAUAUCACUGUGUGCCAGGACUGUGACAAAUGUUGUAUUUUACACAUAAAAUGGUCAAACACUCAUUUUGUUCAAUUCUUUAACCAAUUUUAUUUACGGUGUAGGUAUAUUUACAUGUUAGUUUCCCUGCUUCUAGUGCUUAAAAAUUCGCAAGGAUCUGUUAAACCUGGGUAAUACAGCGGACACCCUUAAAAAUGGCAACUUCUACACUUGGUAAAAAUUAAAAAACAAUUGAGAGUAUUCUGCAGUUCACAUAUUAAUAUAAUAUGCGCGGUCACCACAUUGGUAAACCUCACAUAACUUUGAACUUAUAUAUUUAUAUACAUUAUACAUAUUUAUAGAGUGACCAGACAUGUUAAGAGGACAGUUAUGAAAAAAACGCAUACGUCAUAGCAGCUUUAAAUCAAAACUAGGAUGUAGGGCAGUUUUUUCCUCCAGGGGGAACAGAAAUGUUAAAUCCAACACAGCUCCCUUGUGGAGCAAGUGUACACUGGUGGAUAGAAAGUCAUUGGAAUGUUCCCCCUUGUGGAACAAGUGCAAAAAAACGCUGGCCACGCUUGUUGGAUUUUAACAAUGAGCAUGCUCAGCCAGCAUUAUAGCUCCACAAGCCUCAACAGCAGAUAUGUCUUCCACCUCACAAGUUCAUUUCCCAUGAAAAUAGACAGAAAAUACUAAGCCCUUAACAAGGUCAGGGUACAGCCUUUAAAGUCACUGCACUUUGUAUUAUUAUAGAUUUUACACUUCUUUCAAGGGACCUUUCAAAUUGCAAAGGAAACUACAGAAAACCAAUCUGGUUUCACUUUACUGGUCCUUGAAAAAAGGUGGCUUACUAAAAUAAAAAAAAAAUAAUCUUUAUUCAACAGAAAACCCAAAAUACCCACACGAAAUCCCACAACACUGCAAAUUUCAGAGGAAAAAGGAGAAUAUGAAAUAUCAGCAAGAAACAGCAGAUUCUAAAUCAGUAAGAAAAAUCCUGCAAUGGUGUGACGGUUAUAGUUUUCAAACUAUUAAAACCUGAACCAAUACUUUUCUGUGUCAUACAAAGUUACCUGGCUUACAAAAGGCAUAAAAAAAAAAAUUAAAAUUAUAUAUAUAUAUAUAUAUA